UUGGGUUAUCGUCUGCAUUCCUGACGUAGUGUUUACAGCUUCCUGCUUAUGGCAACAAGGAAGCAGAACGCAGAGUGAUGAGAGAUUUAUGUGGAUAUGAUAGCACUGGACACUUCGAGGCUCCAUUGGCAAAACAUGCGGCAAAUAGGAAACCAAGGGUAGACCUUUGACAUUUAAGAAGUAUAUGCCCUAAGAUUUCUACAGAUCCUGAAAUUCAUCACUACGGCAGAAUCACGCAUCUUAUGGGACCGUGACUCAAGUUCAACUCGCGUUCCAAAGAGAAAUAUACUUGCUGCUUUCAGUGAAGUCUCUGGUAGACUGUAAUCUGCACAAAAUCCAGUCUCAGUGACAAAAAAAAAAUCUUUGCAAAGCUGUGAAAGAAAAUGAAAUACAGCAGAAAUCAGUCCCUUUGCAUCAACCUGGAGGGCAUUUGUUUGGGAAGUAUAUUU
RNAcentral lists this long non-coding RNA (449 nucleotides) under Homo sapiens (human). Its description in RNAcentral is "HSALNT0333196". The record is from RNAcentral. Lineage: Eukaryota; Metazoa; Chordata; Mammalia; Primates; Hominidae.